AGUGAGCGCUGGCGGUAGGCCUAACACAUGCAAGUCGAACGGCAGCACAGUAAGAGCUUGCUCUUACGGGUGGCGAGUGGCGGACGGGUGAGGAAUACAUCGGAAUCUACUUUUUCGUGGGGGAUAACGUAGGGAAACUUACGCUAAUACCGCAUACGACCUACGGGUGAAAGCAGGGGAUCUUCGGACCUUGCGCGAUUGAAUGAGCCGAUGUCGGAUUAGCUAGUUGGCGGGGUAAAGGCCCACCAAGGCGACGACCCGUAGCUGGUCUGAGAGGAUGAUCAGCCACACUGGAACUGAGACACGGUCCAGACUCCUACGGGAGGCAGCAGUGGGGAAUAUUGGACAAUGGGCGCAAGCCUGAUCCAGCCAUACCGCGUGGGUGAAGAAGGCCUUCGGGUUGUAAAGCCCUUUUGUUGGGAAAGAAAAGCAGCAGGUUAAUACCCCGCUGUUCUGACGGUACCCAAAGAAUAAGCACCGGCUAACUUCGUG
Molecule: ribosomal RNA, 492 nt
Filed under: uncultured bacterium
Lineage: Bacteria
Description: partial 16S ribosomal RNA
Rfam family: Bacterial small subunit ribosomal RNA
Source: RNAcentral